Molecule: ribosomal RNA, 512 nt
Filed under: uncultured bacterium
Lineage: Bacteria
Description: partial 16S ribosomal RNA
Rfam family: Bacterial small subunit ribosomal RNA
Source: RNAcentral
GAUGAACGCUGGCGGCGUGCCUAAUACAUGCAAGUCGAGCGGACAGAUGGGAACUUGCUCCCGGAAGUCAGCGGCGGACGGGUGAGUAACACGUGGGCAACCUGCCUGUAAGACUGGGAUAACUUCGGGAAACCGGAGCUAAUACCGGAUACGUUCUUUUCUCGCAUGAGAGAAGAUGGAAAGAUGGUUUCGGCUAUCACUUACAGAUGGGCCCGCGGCGCAUUAGCUAGUUGGUGAGGUAAUGGCUCACCAAGGCGACGAUGCGUAGCCGACCUGAGAGGGUGAUCGGCCGCACUGGGACUGAGACACGGCCCAGACUCCUACGGGAGGCAGCAGUAGGGAAUCUUCCGCAAUGGACGAAAGUCUGACGGAGCAACGCCGCGUGAACGAUGAAGGCCUUCGGGUCGUAAAGUUCUGUUGUUAGGGAAGAACAAGUACCAGAGUAACUGCUGGUACCUUGACGGUACCUAACCAGAAAGCCACGGCUAACUACGUGCCAGCCGCCGCAGUAA